CAGUAGCCACGGUAAAACGUAGGUGGCAAGCGUUGUCCGGAAUUAUUGGGCGUAAAGGGCUCGCAGGCGGUUUCUUAAGUCUGAUGUGAAAGCCCCCGGCUCAACCGGGGAGGGUCAUUGGAAACUGGGAAACUUGAGUGCAGAAGAGGAGAGUGGAAUUCCACGUGUAGCGGUGAAAUGCGUAGAGAUGUGGAGGAACACCAGUGGCGAAGGCGACUCUCUGGUCUGUAACUGACGCUGAGGAGCGAAAGCGUGGGGAGCGAACAGGAUUAGAGACCCCAGUAGUCCCUGUCUCUUAUAC
RNAcentral lists this ribosomal RNA (301 nucleotides) under uncultured bacterium. RNAcentral describes it as "partial 16S ribosomal RNA". It matches the Rfam family "Bacterial small subunit ribosomal RNA", at positions 509 to 807 of the family's 1533-position model. The record is from RNAcentral.